RNAcentral lists this unclassified non-coding RNA (400 nucleotides) under soil metagenome. RNAcentral's name for it is "partial contains 5.8S ribosomal RNA, internal transcribed spacer 2, and large subunit ribosomal RNA". The stretch from base 1 to 122 matches the Rfam family "5.8S ribosomal RNA", at positions 35 to 154 of the family's 154-position model. The record is from RNAcentral.
GAUGAAGAACGUAGCGAAAUGCGAUACUUGGUGUGAAUUGCAGAAUCCCGUGAACCAUCGAGUCUUUGAACGCAAGUUGCGCCUCAAGCCAUUAGGUUGAGGGCACGUCUGCCUGGGCGUCACAUAUCAUUGCCUGAUGCCAGUUUCCUCGUGAUGGGUGACUGUGCAGGGCGAAUGAUGGCUUCCCGUGAGCAUUGUUGCCUCAUGGUUGGUUGAAAAUUGAGUCCUUGGUAGGGAGCGCCGUGAUAGAUGGUGGUUGAGUGACGAACGAGACCCAAUCAUGUGAGACCCCUACCGAAUUUGGCCUUCAUGACCCACAUGCGUCUUUGGAACGCUCAUGACGAGACCUCAGGUCAGGCGGGGCUACCCGCUGAGUUUAAGCAUAUCAAUAAGCGGAGGA